UUGGUUGUUGCAGAAAACAUGAUCUCUCUUUUAGGGUGGGCUGGAGUCUUAUGGUUGCUGUUUUUCAUGCUAUUUUUAUUUUGGGUGGGGGCGAUGGCAUGAUUGCAGUCUAGGUUUUGAAUGUUCUAUGUCUUUCUUGUCGCGAGAUGUUUUGAAACCCACGUGAAUUAGAAAUUAGGUGUUUUUGUUGAAGUCUGCUUCAUCUAUAAUUAUAAUUUCUUGAAGGGCUAUGUAUCUGUCUGAUGCAAUUCAAGGCUAGGAUCAGACCAUUGCCACAAUUUAAUUUUCAAAUUUUGGAAGCCUUUUUUAGGAUUUGGUUACUGAAUGAUAGGCUGAACAUGGAUAUGGAAUUUGUGCAAACCAGGUUGUUGAACAAUCUUACACAAG
Molecule: unclassified non-coding RNA, 387 nt
Filed under: Hevea brasiliensis (rubber tree)
Lineage: Eukaryota; Viridiplantae; Streptophyta; Magnoliopsida; Malpighiales; Euphorbiaceae
Source: RNAcentral